RNAcentral lists this transfer RNA (66 nucleotides) under Bos grunniens (domestic yak). RNAcentral describes it as "tRNA-Lys". Lineage: Eukaryota; Metazoa; Chordata; Mammalia; Artiodactyla; Bovidae. The record is from RNAcentral.
CACUAAGAAGCUAUAUAGCACUAACCUUUUAAGUAGAGAUUGAGAGCAGUAUGCUCUCCUUGGUGA